GAUGAACGCUGGCGGCGUGCCUAAUACAUGCAAGUCGAGCGAACGGACGAGAAGCUUGCUUCUCUGAUGUUAGCGGCGGACGGGUGAGUAACACGUGGAUAACCUACCUAUAAGACUGGGAUAACUUCGGGAAACCGGAGCUAAUACCGGAUAAUAUUUUGAACCGCAUGGUUCAAAAGUGAAAGACGGUCUUGCUGUCACUUAUAGAUGGAUCCGCGCUGCAUUAGCUAGUUGGUAAGGUAACGGCUUACCAAGGCAACGAUGCAUAGCCGACCUGAGAGGGUGAUCGGCCACACUGGAACUGAGACACGGUCCAGACUCCUACGGGAGGCAGCAGUAGGGAAUCUUCUGCAAUGGGCGAAAGCCUGACGGAGCAACGCCGCGUGAGUGAUGAAGGUCUUCGGAUCGUAAAACUCUGUUAUUAGGGAAGAACAUAUGUGUAAGUAACUGUGCACAUCUUGACGGUACCUAAUCAGAAAGCCACGGCUAACUACGUGCCAGCAGCCGCGGUAAUACGUAGGUGGCAAGCGUUAUCCGGAAUUAUUGGGCGUAAAGCGCGCGUAGGCGGUUUUUUAGUCUGAUGUGAAAGCCCACGGCUCAACCGUGGAGGGUCAUUGGAAACUGGAAAACUUGAGUGCAGAAGAGGAAAGUGGAAUUCCAUGUGUAGCGGUGAAAUGCGCAGAGAUAUGGAGGAACACCAGUGGCGAAGGCGACUUUCUGGUCUGUAACUGACGCUGAUGUGCGAAAGCGUGGGGAUCAAACAGGAUUAGAUACCCUGGUAGUCCACGCCGUAAACGAUGAGUGCUAAGUGUUAGGGGGUUUCCGCCCCUUAGUGCUGCAGCUAACGCAUUAAGCACUCCGCCUGGGGAGUACGACCGCAAGGUUGAAACUCAAAGGAAUUGACGGGGACCCGCACAAGCGGUGGAGCAUGUGGUUUAAUUCGAAGCAACGCGAAGAACCUUACCAAAUCUUGACAUCCUUUGACAACUCUAGAGAUAGAGCCUUCCCCUUCGGGGGACAAAGUGACAGGUGGUGCAUGGUUGUCGUCAGCUCGUGUCGUGAGAUGUUGGGUUAAGUCCCGCAACGAGCGCAACCCUUAAGCUUAGUUGCCAUCAUUAAGUUGGGCACUCUAAGUUGACUGCCGGUGACAAACCGGAGGAAGGUGGGGAUGACGUCAAAUCAUCAUGCCCCUUAUGAUUUGGGCUACACACGUGCUACAAUGGACAAUACAAAGGGCAGCGAAACCGCGAGGUCAAGCAAAUCCCAUAAAGUUGUUCUCAGUUCGGAUUGUAGUCUGCAACUCGACUACAUGAAGCUGGAAUCGCUAGUAAUCGUAGAUCAGCAUGCUACGGUGAAUACGUUCCCGGGUCU
RNAcentral lists this ribosomal RNA (1371 nucleotides) under uncultured bacterium. Its description in RNAcentral is "bacterial SSU rRNA". It matches the Rfam family "Bacterial small subunit ribosomal RNA", at positions 28 to 1381 of the family's 1533-position model. The record is from RNAcentral.